AAUGACAGCCAUAUCACCCUGCAGCCCAAGACCGGUUACUCACUGAAGCCAAGCAGGGCUGAGCCUGGUCAGUACCUGGAUGGGAACAUGGGAACACUAGGUUGCUGUUGGAA
Molecule: ribosomal RNA, 113 nt
Filed under: Danio rerio (zebrafish)
Lineage: Eukaryota; Metazoa; Chordata; Actinopteri; Cypriniformes; Danionidae
Source: RNAcentral